GUUUCCGUAAGGCCAGAUUCUUGGGCAAAGUUGUUUUAGCGAUCUGGUUGCAACUAAGGUAUCCUGUAAGAACAAAUUGCUGCCUCCUCCAGGUGGAAAGGGAUCAAAUAUAAUUAAUCUGUGUGUGCCACACAGUAGCUUGAUAGUUUAAUUGAGGAAUGUUGACAUAUUGAGAGCUCAGCAUUACUUUCUGCUAUCAGCAGUGACGGAUAUGGAUUCAUUUCUACAUAAAUUUACUCCACCAGCAUUUACUGAUCACCUACUCUGAGAAAUCACUCUCUAAACUCUGGGGAUGCAGUUCUGAGGAGGAUACAGUUCUGUCUUCAGAAAAUGCUGAUGGAAAUAAUUUUAAUGAACAGUAAUGGUAAAAGGAGAUAAACGAAAACAGAAUCAAUGUGUGCAAAGUGACAGAAAAGCCAGUGCCUGGGAUUCUGAGAUGCAGCCACAUCAUAAAGUUUCAUUACUCAAUUGCAGUAGAGAAAACCUCAAAGGAACCACUUCUAAUGGAAACUGCCUCAAUUCCUGGUCAAGUCUCACAGUCUAACCUGGAGGUGCUCUGAGAUGUGACUAAGUUAAGGAUUUUGAGAUGAAGAGACCAUCCUGAAUUAUCUGAGUGGGUCCUGAAUGUCAUCACAAGAAGCCUUAGAAGAGAGAAGCAUGAAAACCAGAAGAGGAGGAAGAGGCAACCGGGCCAUGAAGACAAGAGAUUAGAGUGAUGUGGCCACAAGUCAAGAAGUGCCGGCCUCCAGCAAAAAACUGGAAGUCAGGAGCAGGAUCUCUCCUAGAGCCUGUGGAGGGAAUGUAACCCUGCCAAUAACUUGAUUUUGGCCCAGAGAAACUGACUUCAGACUUCUGGCCUUCAGGAUGGCGAGAGAAUUAAAUCGCUGUUGUUUUUAGCCCAGUAUGUGGUAAUUUUGUUACAACAGCCACAGAAAACUAGUACAGUGGAUUUUUAGCAGUAGAAUUAAAUUAGCAGUGGAUUAAAGAGCAGUAGAAUUGUGAUUUUAUCAACACUUACUGGAUGGCAGAUUUCCUCUGCAGCAGAAGAGAAUAAAAUGUUGCCUAGGUGAUGCUGACCACCAAAACUUCUGCCAUGGACUCAGCAGUGUGAACAGACCCUGGGAAUCUAUGUACACAUAAAACACCAUGAACAUUUUGCAUUUUCUGAUUUGAACUGAAUAGGCGUUCUACUCUGUAAAUAUUUACAAAAAAACUAAAUAUAUAUUUAUGUUAACCCUUUGCUAGAGAUUUUUAAACAAACAAAAAAAUACCAGAUCUUAUUCACCAUUUUUGAUGUCAGUAAAGUGUGUUACGCAAAUUGGCUUCAAAAAUUAAAACCUGUAACAAACUUUGAGUCUUGAAAUGCAUGCUAUGUAUGAUCUUAAAAACAUGUAGGUAGGCUUAUUAGUUCAUAGAGGUUCAUAGUAUUUCAUAUGUUUUUCAGACUAUAUGUAGGGAAUUGCUGACAAAUCUUGGUAUCACUAAAUCCAUUAUCAUGUUCUGAAAUGUCACCAAAUUGAGCCUACAUAUUGUGAAGAGUGAGUGUAUGGCCAUAUAGUGUAUGGCCUCAAGAUUUUGUCUUAUAAUUUAAGUUUCAAUGUCCACACCUCAUCUAAAUUAGGGUACCAUUUGGACUAU
Molecule: long non-coding RNA, 1638 nt
Organism: Homo sapiens (human)
Lineage: Eukaryota; Metazoa; Chordata; Mammalia; Primates; Hominidae
Source: Ensembl